AAAAUAAAAAUAAAAAACAAAUAAAGCAAUAACAACCCAACCUCAUGAGCUAUCAUCUUCUAGAGAAAUCUAAAAAUAUCUGAACCUCAACAAACCAGCUCUAAUAGAAGACAAAUUGAUGGAAUUCUAAUUGUUUCAAAUUUCUUCUCACAAAACCACACAUCUAUUUUGAAACUUAACUCAAAUACAAUCUUCAUCACCAUUCACGAUCAAUUUCUGAUUCAGUGAUUUCCUGACCAAAAACUCUAUUAACAAGGUACGUGUUUCUCCCCACUUUUAAACUUUUAGUUGCCAAACAAUGAGCAGAUUCAUUUGCUAGUCAUCUUGUAUGUUAAAACUUACAGCCAUUAAAACCCUCACUUAGAUUUUUAACAUAAUGUAAGGUUCUAUUGCCGAUUUUUCCCUCUCCGUAUUUUGAGCUCUCUUGAUCACCGUCAAAGAAUCCCCUUCAAUUUCAUCAUGCAUAAUCCCCAAAUCUCUACCCAGAAUAACUACCUGUACACAAGCAAUGGCCUCUGCUACAAAAACUGAAGGUAUAAUCUCGUGAAUCAUUGUCUUAAAAGCCAAAAUAUCUCUUUAAAGUUUCUGAAUAUGACUAUUGAGCAGGAUCUAUCUUCCUUGGUAUCAAAAGUGGCAUCGAAAUUAAUUUUAUAGAAACCUAACAACGGAUGUCUCCAUCUAUCAAAAUCAGGGCUCAAGGUAAGAUUCUUUUUAUUAAGCUCUACUAAUUCAUGAAUAUACUGUUUAAUAAACUUUGCUGUCUCUGCUCUAGAUUUCUUUCUUCCCUCAUUAAUCCAUUGACUUCUGCUAGUCUAAAUAGCCCAAAUGGCACAAACAAAUAUUCGGCAAACAUCCACCCUACUGUUUAACAAAACCCAAGUAAACCAAUCCAUAAACUCAAAUUGUAACAAUUCUUGUGACCAGACAUAAUCUAAAUUUUUCCAUGUCUCUUUGGUAAUAGAACAAUCACGAAAAAUGUGUUCCCUUGUUUCCAACCCUUGCAUGCAUCUUGGGCAGACAACCUUAGUAGUCAAUCUUUUUGUUCGAAGAUUCACUAAAGUAGGAAAAUAACUGAAAGCAGUUUUCCAAACUGUAAUUUUUAUUUUAAAAGGAAGAUCUAGGUUCCAAAAUUUCUUGUAACAUUUUGUAUUGUCAAUUGGGUUGUAAUUAUUUGGGUUAUUGAAAUUACCUUGUAAAAGUAACUUAUAGCCGCUGCGCACCGUGAACUCACCCAUCAACUCACCCCUCCACACCAUAAAAUCAUCGUGAGGAAAUUUGGCCAAAGGUAUUCGCAAGAUCUUCUGUGCAUCACUAUCAGUAAAGGUACUAAGAACCAGUCCAACUCUCUAUGAUCUAGUAUCACUAUCAAUUAGAUCUGCAACCCUCAUAAUGUGACAGCCCUAAUUUGGUCCUAGUCGGAAAGUGGUUUCGGGACCACAAAAUCGAGUCAUAAAAAUAAUUAACCGUUAUAAUCUAUGCUUACUGUAUGUGUACAUGCACGUGUGAAAGUUUCAUGUUUUAAUUUUAUCAUUUGUAUGUGAAAUAGAUUAAAUAGGACUCAUGUGAAAUAAAUGUAAAAGAUGAUAGGUUAAUUUCAAAGUGGUGUAAUAAUGCAUGUUAGAAAAAGGAUGGGUUUGCAUGUCAAAUAUCCAUUUUUGACAAGUAGUGGCCGGCCAUGAUGAAGUGAUAGAUAAAAAUAUGUAUUAAUUAUUAGUUAAUGGCUUAAUAUUUUAUAGUAUAGAUGAAUAAAAUGAAAAUAAUAAUAGAAAGAAUGGGAAGAAAACAAAGUCUUAACUUUGUUCUUCUUAGCCGAACCAAAAGGGAGAAAAAGGGGAGCAAACAUUCAGCCAUUUGAAACCUAAGAAAGGUUAGUAAAUCAAGUUAGAUUUUUGAAAUUCUAGUUUGUUUUAGGUUACUCAUCAUGCUACUUACUUAGCCCAUGCCAAAACUUUGAAUUUGGAUGGUUGAAUUGAACAUUCAGUUAUGGUAGAUAAGGAAGGAAUUUGAUUUUUAUCUUUAAGUUUUGAUGAAGAAAUUGUUGAUGAAAGAAGUUGAUCUUGUUAAAAACUAUAAUUUCUAAUACUCAUAUGUGUAAUAGCCGAACCUAGACUUUGCUUAAUGUCUUGAACAAAUGCCGAUUAGGUGUUUUGAAAUGGAUAAAUUAGGUGCUUGAUUUCCUAAAGGUUCGGCAUAGCACAUGAUAUUUUUGUUAGUAUGAUUUCGAAAAAUUUGAGUAAUGUUAUGUAUAAGUAAAAUUAUUAGGUACGGUCUUGGCGGUAUAUAUGUACAAUUGAUCUAUUUAGCUAAUAAUAUCUAGGGUGAUAAAUAAUUAAAUAAUAUGUAUACAAAGAAUGUGGGAAAGAGUGAAUUGGCAAUAAUCUUUUUAGGACAGCAGCAGUAAAGUGAUUUUGGAAAAAUCACUAUAAAUUAUGGGAGUUGAGUUAGAAGCUGAAUAAAUUAUGUAAUUAAAGCUUGAUGAGUCUAGUUUCUUAUAAAAGAAACUAUAAAAGCAAAAGAAUUUCUGAUAAUGAGAUAAUUGAAGUAAUGUGGGACAGAGUCAAAAUGACUUCUAGAUCCCCUAUUCUGUUUUUCUAAAAUCACUAUAAAACUUAUAAAAAUAUUAAAAUGAUGAAAUUUAUAUGCUUAGACUCCUUAAUGAGUCUAGUUUCAAAUGAAAUAAACAAGGACAUGUUUUGAAUUCUGUACAAUGAGAAAUUUAUUUCGUAGUGAAGAGUGGUCAGAUUAGUCAAACAGUGAAACAAGGGAAACUUUAAGAAAAAUUUGGUAUUGAUUGGCUAAACUAAAAAUUCUGAAAAUUUUAUGGAUAAAAGAUAUAUGAGUCUAUUUUUAGGAAAAUUUUACGGAAAUUGAUUUGGAGUUUCGUAGCUCCAGUUAUAAAUAAUUUAGUGACUGUUGCUCAAGAAGGCAGCUUAUUGUGAAUUUGUGAUUAUGGGGUAAUCAUUGAUAAAAAUUUGUUAAGGAGUUGCUUAAUGUUUUCUUAUAAGCUUACUAUAAUCUGUAUAUGUGAAAGUCGAAUAUAUAUGUAUUAUAUUCUGAAAAUAAUAUUUGAAUAGUCGAUUAAUGUUUAGUUUAAAAUUUGUUGAAUUAAAGCUCAAGAGCAUAGGGGGCAAUUUCGAAUAAGGGAAAAGAGAAAGCAAUCGAGUAGCUUAUCUGCAGUUGUUCAAAUAAAUCCGAGGUAAGUCUUUGAGUAAUGGAACUUAACUUAUGAUUUGAUUAAACAAUGUUAUAUAUUUAUAUAUAUAGCACAAUAAAUAAAUUGUGACCUGAUGGUUUCUCUUGAUUUACAUAUUGAAAUAAAUGGGUAGUGCAUCGGCUUGUAAUCGAAUGGUUAUAGAAACUCAUGUAGAGUAGCGAAACGGAAUCGUGUCAUUUGUAUGAGCUGUUGAGCCGAAAAUGAAUGAUGGAUAAUCAUGUUGUGUUUGUGAUCUAAUAAUGUAAAUGAAUUGUUAAUGAUUUAUAAUAUAAAUAUAUUUUGUGCAUGACAAUUGAGGAUUAUAUCCGGGUUAAGUCCCGAAGGCAUUCGUGCUGGUUGCUAUUUCCGGGUUAAGUCCCGAAGGCAUUCGUGUUGGUUGUUAUUUCCGGGUUAAGCCCUGAAGGCAUUCGUGCUGGUCGCUAUUUCCGGGUUAAGUCCCGAAGGCAUUUGUGCUGGUUGUUACAUCCGGGCUAAAUCCCGAAGGCAAUUGGGUUGGAAAUGUGCAAUCUUGUCGUAAUAACUUCUAUUGAUGGGCUUACAACCCUAAGAUGAUCAGGUAUGCACCGUAUAUACAUUGAAAUUAAGUUAAGAUUGACUAUGAGCAUGUUAGUAUAUGGGUUGAAGUGUGAAGUAACAUAAGUAUAUGAUUUUUGCGUAUUUGCAUUUAUUUAGCCUUGUAAUCGAAUUAGAUGUAUUCGGCAUAAUUAUGAGGUUAGUUGGGUAAAAAGAGAUUAUCUACAUGAUACGAAUUCGUGUUUAAGGAAAAAUUUAAGAUGACAUGUAUGAACGAUAGGGGUAUAUUUAAUCAUGACUACAUUUAGUCAGAAAGAUGAUGAGCCUUAUGAAUGCUAUGCUUUAGUUAUAAAUGAUUUCAUUACUUAAGACUUACUAAGCAUCGAAAUGCUUACUCUUUUUGCCUUCAUUCCCUGUUUUAUAGAUUUUGUUCGUGAACUAUCGGACUCGGGAGAUCUAAAGUCGAAGUCGUCCACACUAUCUAAACCUUUCGGUACUCUUGUAAAUGAACCUUGAUAAUGGCAUGUAUAGGAUUGACUUUUGAUGUUAAUUACGUAUCUUUUUGGUGAUGUAUAUAUGUAUAGCCAUGCGAAAAUGGCUUGUUAAGUUAUUAUAUGCGCUCCACAUAAUUAAUGUGUAUGUGUGGAUGAUAAUCGAUUAAUAUUUUAAAUGUUUUGAUGUGAAUUAAACUUAGGAAUGAAUUAAGGUACUAUUUAAAUUGAGAAGAUUGCUUUGCAUAGUGUAUAAACGAAAUUCGAAUUCGAAGGUAUGCUAUCGGAAAUUACCUAAGUAUUGUCAAAUGAAUUUUCGUACUUAUUUGGUAAUAUUCCUUACCCCCUCCGGUGACGGAUACAGGUUAGGGGUGUUACACAUAAUAUCUAGC
Molecule: long non-coding RNA, 4610 nt
Filed under: Gossypium barbadense (sea-island cotton)
Lineage: Eukaryota; Viridiplantae; Streptophyta; Magnoliopsida; Malvales; Malvaceae
Description: long non-coding RNA (GBAR_LNC010918)
Source: RNAcentral